RNAcentral lists this ribosomal RNA (269 nucleotides) under uncultured prokaryote. RNAcentral's name for it is "partial 16S ribosomal RNA". It matches the Rfam family "Bacterial small subunit ribosomal RNA", at positions 524 to 792 of the family's 1533-position model. The record is from RNAcentral.
CACGUAAGGGGCAAGCGUUGUUCGGAAUUAUUGGGCGUAAAGGGCGUGUAGGCGGAUAUAUAAGCCUGGUGUAAAAGGCUUCGGCUCAACCGGAGUUAGGCGCUGGGAACUGUAUGUCUAGAGUACAGGAGGGGGAGUUGGAAUUCCUGGUGUAGGGGUGAAAUCUGUAGAUAUCAGGAAGAACACCGGUGGCGAAGGCGAACUCCUGGCCUGUUACUGACGCUGAGGCGCGAAAGCGUGGGGAGCGAACAGGAUUAGAUACCCGCGUA